UUAAAGAAAGCGUAAUAGCUCACUGGUCGAGUCGGCCUGCGCGGAAGAUGUAACGGGGCUAAGUAGUAAACCGAAGCUGCGGCAAUGUGCUUUUGCACAUUGGGUAGGGGAGCGUUCUGUAAGCGGUUGAAGGUGUGUGGUAACGCAUGCUGGACGUAUCAGAAGUGCGAAUGCUGACAUGAGUAACGAUAAAGGGGGUGAAAAACCUCCUCGCCGGAAGACCAAGGGUUCCUGUCCAACGUUAAUCGGGGCAGGGUAAGUCGACCCCUAAGGCGAGGCCGAAAGGCGUAGUCGAUGGGAAACGGGUUAAUAUUCCCGUACUUCUUACAAUUGCGAUGGGGGGACGGAGAAGGCUAGGUGGGCCUGGCGACGGUUGUCCAGGUUCAAGUGCGUAGGCUUAAGAGUUAGGUAAAUCCGGCUCUUUUUAAGGCUGAGACACGACGUCGAGCACCUACGGGUGUGAAGUCAUUGAUGCCAUGCUUCCAGGAAAAGCCUCUAAGCUUCAGAUUGUAAGGAAUCGUACCCCAAACCGACACAGGUGGUCGGGUAGAGAAUACCAAGGCGCUUGAGAGAACUCGGGUGAAGGAACUAGGCAAAAUGGUACCGUAACUUCGGGAGAAGGUACGCUCUUGAUGGUGAAGUCCCUCGCGGAUGGAGCUGACGAGAGUCGCAGAUACCAGGUGGCUGCAACUGUUUAUUAAAAACACAGCACUGUGCAAAAUCGUAAGAUGACGUAUACGGUGUGACGCCUGCCCGGUGCCGGAAGGUUAAUUGAUGGGGUUAGACUUCGGUCGAAGCUCUUGAUCGAAGCCCCGGUAAACGGCGGCCGUAACUAUAACGGUCCUAAGGUAGCGAAAUUCCUUGUCGGGUAAGUUCCGACCUGCACGAAUGGCGUAAUGAUGGCCACGCUGUCUCCACCCGAGACUCAGUGAAAUUGAAAUCGCUGUGAAGAUGCAGUGUACCCGCGGCUAGACGGAAAGACCCCGUGAACCUUUACUACAGCUUGGCACUGAACAUUGACCCUACAUGUGUAGGAUAGGUGGGAGGCUUUGAAGCACGUACGCCAGUAUGUGUGGAGCCGUCCUUGAAAUACCACCCUUGUAGUGUUGAUGUUCUAACGUCGACCCCUUAUCGGGGUUGCGGACAGUGCCUGGUGGGUAGUUUGACUGGGGCGGUCUCCUCCCAAAGAGUAACGGAGGAGCACGAAGGUGGGCUAAUCACGGUUGGACAUCGUGAGGUUAGUGCAAUGGCAUAAGCCCGCUUGACUGCGAGAAUGACAAUUCGAGCAGGUGCGAAAGCAGGUCAUAGUGAUCCGGUGGUUCUGAAUGGAAGGGCCAUCGCUCAACGGAUAAAAGGUACUCCGGGGAUAACAGGCUGAUACCGCCCAAGAGUUCAUAUCGACGGCGGUGUUUGGCACCUCGAUGUCGGCUCAUCACAUCCUGGGGCUGAAGUCGGUCCCAAGGGUAUGGCUGUUCGCCAUUUAAAGUGGUACGCGAGCUGGGUUUAGAACGUCGUGAGACAGUUCGGUCCCUAUCUGCCGUGGGCGUUGGAAGAUUGAAGGGGGCUGCUCCUAGUACGAGAGGACCGGAGUGGACGAACCUCUGGUGUUCGGGUUGUGUCGCCAGACGCAUUGCCCGGUAGCUAAGUUCGGAAUCGAUAACCGCUGAAAGCAUCUAAGCGGGAAGCGAGCCCUGAGAUGAGUCUUCCCUGAUACUUUAAGUAUCCUAAAGGGUUGUCGGAGACUACGACGUUGAUAGGUCAGGUGUGUAAGUGCUGUGAGGCAUUGAGCUAACUGAUACUAAUUGCCCGUGAGGCUUAACCAUACAACACCCAAGGGGUUU
This 1841-nucleotide ribosomal RNA is filed under the name Vibrio parahaemolyticus. RNAcentral describes it as "partial 23S ribosomal RNA". It matches the Rfam family "Bacterial large subunit ribosomal RNA", at positions 1123 to 2925 of the family's 2925-position model. Lineage: Bacteria; Pseudomonadati; Pseudomonadota; Gammaproteobacteria; Vibrionales; Vibrionaceae. The record is from RNAcentral.